GGAGCGUAGGCGGACUUUUAAGUGAGAUGUGAAAUACCCGGGCUCAACUUGGGUGCUGCAUUUCAAACUGGAAGUCUAGAGUGCAGGAGAGGAGAAUGGAAUUCCUAGUGUAGCGGUGAAAUGCGUAGAGAUUAGGAAGAACACCAGUGGCGAAGGCGAUUCUCUGGACUGUAACUGACGCUGAGGCUCGAAAGCGUGGGAGCAAACA
This 208-nucleotide ribosomal RNA is filed under the name uncultured bacterium. RNAcentral's name for it is "partial 16S ribosomal RNA". It matches the Rfam family "Bacterial small subunit ribosomal RNA", at positions 566 to 774 of the family's 1533-position model. The record is from RNAcentral.